UGGAUCAGUGAGGACCACUGAUGGCACAGGAGUCAUGAAUCAUAACUACAGGUCUAGGAGUCUGGGGUCCAC
Molecule: small nucleolar RNA, 72 nt
Filed under: Neotoma lepida (desert woodrat)
Lineage: Eukaryota; Metazoa; Chordata; Mammalia; Rodentia; Cricetidae
Description: Small nucleolar RNA SNORD113/SNORD114 family
Rfam family: Small nucleolar RNA SNORD113/SNORD114 family
About the family: The imprinted human domain at 14q32 contains two clusters of tandemly repeated small nucleolar RNAs named 14q(I) and 14q(II) snoRNAs. These two clusters are named SNORD113 and SNORD114 respectively in the HGNC approved gene symbol nomenclature. The snoRNAs found in both clusters are clearly related and are represented here by a single family.
Source: Rfam by way of RNAcentral